CACCGCGGUUAUACGAGAGACCCUAGUUGAUAACUACCGGCGUAAAGAGUGGUUACGGAAAAAUAUUCAAUAAAGCCGAACACCCCCUCAGCCGUCAUACGCACCUGGGGGCACGAAGAUCUACUGCGAAAGCAGCUUUAACUAUGCCUGAACCCACGACAGCUACGACA
Molecule: ribosomal RNA, 170 nt
Filed under: Salmo trutta (river trout)
Lineage: Eukaryota; Metazoa; Chordata; Actinopteri; Salmoniformes; Salmonidae
Description: partial small subunit ribosomal RNA
Source: RNAcentral